RNAcentral lists this ribosomal RNA (448 nucleotides) under uncultured bacterium. RNAcentral describes it as "bacterial SSU rRNA". It matches the Rfam family "Bacterial small subunit ribosomal RNA", at positions 355 to 825 of the family's 1533-position model. The record is from RNAcentral.
UGGGGAAUAUUGGACAAUGGGCGCAAGCCUGAUCCAGCCAUGCCGCGUGGAUGAUGAAGGCCCUAGGGUUGUAAAGUCCUUUCGACGGGGAAGAUAAUGACGGUACCCGUAGAAGAAGCCCCGGCUAACUUCGUGCCAGCAGCCGCGGUAAUACGAAGGGGGCUAGCGUUGCUCGGAAUCACUGGGCGUAAAGCGCACGUAGGCGGAUUUCUAAGUCGGUGGUGAAAUCCUGGAGCUCAACUCCAGAACUGCCUCCGAUACUGGGAGUCUUCGAGUCCGGGAGAGGUGAGUGGAACUGCGAGUGUAGAGGUGAAAUUCGUAGAUAUUCGCAAGAACACCAGUGGCGAAGGCGGCUCACUGGCCCGGUACUGACGCUGAGGUGCGAAAGCGUGGGGAGCAAACAGGAUUAGAUACCCGUGUAGUCCCUGAGCGGGCUGGCAAGGCGCAU